This 1394-nucleotide ribosomal RNA is filed under the name uncultured bacterium. Its description in RNAcentral is "partial 16S ribosomal RNA". It matches the Rfam family "Bacterial small subunit ribosomal RNA". The record is from RNAcentral.
UUAGAGUUUGAUCCUGGCUCAAGAUGAACGCUAGCGGCAGGCUUAACACAUGCAAGUCGAGGGGCAGCAUGUCCAGCAAUGGAUGAUGGCGACCGGCGGAAGGGUGCGUAACGCGUGAGCAACAUGCCCUAUACAGGGAGAUACACCAGGGAAACUUGGUCUAAUAUCCCAUAGCAUUCAUUGAAGGCAUCUUUAAUGAAUUAAAGCUUCGGUGGUAUAGGAUUGGCUCGCGUGACAUUAGCCAGAUGGUGAGGUAACGGCUCACCAUAGCAAUGAUGUCUAGGGGUUUUGAGAGGAACGCCCCCCACACUGGGACUGAGACACGGCCCACACUCCUACGGGAGGCAGCAGUGAGGAAUAUUGGACAAUGGAUGGAAAUCUGAUCCAGCCGUGCCGCGUGCAAGAAGACGGCCUUAUGGGUUGUAAACUGCUUUUAUACGGGAGCAAUAAGGGUUACGAGUAAUCCGAUGAGAGUACUGUAUGAAUAAGGAUCGGCUAACUCCGUGCCAGCAGCCGCGGUAAUACGGAGGAUCCGAGCGUUAUCCGGAAUUAUUGGGUUUAAAGGGUGCGUAGGCGGCCAUUUAAGUCAGCGGUGAAAUUUUGCAGCUUAACUGUAACAGUGCCGUUGAUACUGUUUGGCUAGGAUUUGGUUGUAGUGUGCGGAAUGUGUGGUGUAGCGGUGAUAUGCUUAGAUAUCACACAAAACACUGAUUGCGAAGGCAGCACACUAAGUCAUUAUUGACGCUGAGGCACGAAAGUGUGGGGAUCAAACAGGAUUAGAUACCCUGGUAGUCCACACUGUAAACGAUGAUAACUCGCUGUCGGCGAUACACAGUCGGUGGCCAAGCGAAAGCAUUAAGUUAUCCACCUGGGGAGUACGACCGCAAGGUUGAAACUCAAAGGAAUUGACGGGGGCCCGCACAAGCAGCGGAGCAUGUGGUUUAAUUCGAAGCAACGCGAAGAACCUUACCUAGACUUGACAUCUCCUGCAUUACUCUUAAUCGAGGAAGUCCCUUCGGGGACAGGAUGACAGGUGGUGCAUGGUCGUCGUCAGCUCGUGUCGUGAGAUGUUGGGUUAAGUCCCGCAACGAGCGCAACCCUUAUUGUUAGUUGCCAUCAUUAAGUUGGGCACUCUAGCGAGACUGCCCGGGUUAACCGGGAGGAAGGUGGGGAUGACGUCAAAUCAUCAUGCCCCUUAUGUCUAGGGCUACACACGUGCUACAAUGGUCGGUACAAUAAGACGCAAGCCCGCGAGGGGGAGCAAAACUGGAAAACCGAUCUCAGUUCGGAUUGUAGGCUGAAACUCGCCUACAUGAAGCUGGAGUUGCUAGUAAUCGCGAAUCAGCAUGUCGCGGUGAAUACGUUCCCGGGCCUUGCACACGCCGCCCGUCAAG